Molecule: ribosomal RNA, 1369 nt
Filed under: uncultured bacterium
Lineage: Bacteria
Description: bacterial SSU rRNA
Rfam family: Bacterial small subunit ribosomal RNA
Source: RNAcentral
GACGAACGCUGGCGGCGUGCCUAAUACAUGCAAGUAGAACGCUGAAGAGAGGAGCUUGCUCUUCUUGGAUGAGUUGCGAACGGGUGAGUAACGCGUAGGUAACCUGCCUUGUAGCGGGGGAUAACUAUUGGAAACGAUAGCUAAUACCGCAUAACAAUGGAUGACCCAUGUCAUUUAUUUGAAAGGGGCAAUUGCUCCACUACAAGAUGGACCUGCGUUGUAUUAGCUAGUAGGUGAGGUAACGGCUCACCUAGGCGACGAUACAUAGCCGACCUGAGAGGGUGAUCGGCCACACUGGGACUGAGACACGGCCCAGACUCCUACGGGAGGCAGCAGUAGGGAAUCUUCGGCAAUGGGGGCAACCCUGACCGAGCAACGCCGCGUGAGUGAAGAAGGUUUUCGGAUCGUAAAGCUCUGUUGUAAGUCAAGAACGAGUGUGAGAGUGGAAAGUUCACACUGUGACGGUAGCUUACCAGAAAGGGACGGCUAACUACGUGCCAGCAGCCGCGGUAAUACGUAGGUCCCGAGCGUUGUCCGGAUUUAUUGGGCGUAAAGCGAGCGCAGGCGGUUUGAUAAGUCUGAAGUUAAAGGCUGUGGCUCAACCAUAGUUCGCUUUGGAAACUGUCAAACUUGAGUGCAGAAGGGGAGAGUGGAAUUCCAUGUGUAGCGGUGAAAUGCGUAGAUAUAUGGAGGAACACCGGUGGCGAAAGCGGCUCUCUGGUCUGUAACUGACGCUGAGGCUCGAAAGCGUGGGGAGCGAACAGGAUUAGAUACCCUGGUAGUCCACGCCGUAAACGAUGAGUGCUAGGUGUUGGAUCCUUUCCGGGAUUCAGUGCCGCAGCUAACGCAUUAAGCACUCCGCCUGGGGAGUACGACCGCAAGGUUGAAACUCAAAGGAAUUGACGGGGGCCCGCACAAGCGGUGGAGCAUGUGGUUUAAUUCGAAGCAACGCGAAGAACCUUACCAGGUCUUGACAUCCCGAUGCUAUUUCUAGAGAUAGAAAGUUACUUCGGUACAUCGGUGACAGGUGGUGCAUGGUUGUCGUCAGCUCGUGACGUGAGAUGUUGGGUUAAGUCCCGCAACGAGCGCAACCCCUAUUGUUAGUUGCCAUCAUUCAGUUGGGCACUCUAGCGAGACUGCCGGUAAUAAACCGGAGGAAGGUGGGGAUGACGUCAAAUCAUCAUGCCCCUUAUGACCUGGGCUACACACGUGCUACAAUGGUUGGUACAACGAGUUGCGAGUCGGUGACGGCAAGCUAAUCUCUUAAAGCCAAUCUCAGUUCGGAUUGUAGGCUGCAACUCGCCUACAUGAAGUCGGAAUCGCUAGUAAUCGCGGAUCAGCACGCCGCGGUGAAUACGUUCCCGGGCCU